Molecule: ribosomal RNA, 253 nt
Filed under: uncultured bacterium
Lineage: Bacteria
Also listed under: 1 other name
Description: partial 16S ribosomal RNA
Rfam family: Bacterial small subunit ribosomal RNA
Source: RNAcentral
UACAGAGGUCUCAACCGUUGUUCGGAUUCAUUGGGCGUAAAGGGUGCGUAGGCGGUCGCGUAAGUCGGAUGUGAAAUCCCGGGGCUCAACCCCGGAACUGCAUUCGAUACUGCGUGGCUAGGGUACUGGAGAGGAAACUGGAAUUUACGGUGUAGCAGUGAAAUGCGUAGAUAUCGUAAGGAAGACCAGUGGCGAAGGCGAGUUUCUGGACAGUUACCGACGCUGAGGCACGAAGGCCAGGGGAGCAAACGGG